This 645-nucleotide ribosomal RNA is filed under the name Triticum aestivum (bread wheat). RNAcentral's name for it is "partial small subunit ribosomal RNA". The record is from RNAcentral. Lineage: Eukaryota; Viridiplantae; Streptophyta; Magnoliopsida; Poales; Poaceae.
AUGUCGAUGAGCACAUGCUCAUUACCAUCGCCGUCAACGCCGUGCGCGGGCAACAUGACGUGCGAUGGCCCCCUUGGCAAUGGCAGCCGCUUCGCCGCUAGCCUCAACAACGUAAGCUUCCAGACCCCCUCCGUGGACAUCCUCGACGCCUACUACGGCUCCGUCCGCGGCGUGUACGAGGCGGACUUCCCCGAUAAGCCGCCCUUCUUCUUCAACUUUACCGACGACAACGUCCCAAAGGAGCGCUGGUUCACGAAGCGCGGCACCAAGGUAAAGGUGCUGGGCUACGGAGCCGUGGUGGAGGUGGUUUUCCAGGACACGGCCAUCCUAGGAGCCGAGACCCACCCGAUGCACCUGCACGGGUUCGCCUUCUACGUGGUGGGAAGAGGGUUUGGGAACUUCGACAUGCACAAGGAUCCGGGCACAUACAACUUGAUCGACCCGCCGUACCAGAACACCGUCUCCGUGCCCAAGGCUGGCUGGGCGGCAGUUCGCUUCCGUGCUACAAAUCCCGGUGUGUGGUUUAUGCACUGUCACUUCGAUCGUCAUCAGGUAUGGGGGAUGGAUACUGUGUUCAUCGUAAAGGAUGGCAAGACCCCCGAAGCUAAAAUGAUGCGCCGUCCUGCGGGCAUGCCUAGGUGCUAA